GAUGAACGCUGGCGGCGUGCCUAAUACAUGCAAGUCGAGCGAGCGGAACCAACAGAUUUACUUCGGUAAUGACGUUGGGAAAGCGAGCGGCGGAUGGGUGAGUAACACGUGGGGAACCUGCCCCUAAGUCUGGGAUACCAUUUGGAAACAGGUGCUAAUACCGCAUAAGCCCACGGUGCCGCAUGGCACAGCGGGAAAAGGAUUUAUUCGCUUCAGGAUGGACUCGCGUCCAAUUAGCUAGUUGGUGAGGUAACGGCCCACCAAGGCGACGAUUGGUAGCCGGACUGAGAGGUUGAACGGCCACAUUGGGACUGAGACACGGCCCAG
Molecule: ribosomal RNA, 327 nt
Filed under: uncultured bacterium
Lineage: Bacteria
Description: bacterial SSU rRNA
Rfam family: Bacterial small subunit ribosomal RNA
Source: RNAcentral